UAUAAAGGAGUUAUUUAAGUAGUUUUGGUGCCCAUAGAAUGAAGUAGAUAGUUUUAGGAUUAUGAGGUAUCGAAAUAACAUAUUUUAUAAAGUGGUAUAUAUAAUAAUUACACCACCUAUAUAUGCGGAAGCAUACAAACUAUAAUUAUAAACUCGAAAUGAUUUAGAUUCAAUAAUACAAUGGAUUUAUUUGUGCAAGCACGACUUACGCUUUCAUCUUUUUUAUCUUGUAUUUUCUUGAAGUUCUAGGUUUACUACUCUCUUUUUCUAAUUCAUUUGUCUAUACCUUGAUGUUAUAAAACGUGGUUUAUGUCCGUACGUAGCCGCCAAUUAUAAAAUAAACACAUUUCUCAAAUUAAUUCGAGAGCUGCAUCAAUUUGGCUAGUGAUGAAGGUAUAUAUAUUAAAUUUUGCGGCGGGUGGUGGGUUUAUUCACUAGAAAAUAAAUACGACGGAGAGGAUGAAAAGGGGACACGUUGAGAAUGUGAAGAGCGUGGUGGGUGUUGAGGUGGAAUCAAUAUUGGUUAUCCUGAGAACUUGCCUGGGCCAAACAUGUGGAGAUGGAGAGCUUUUAAAGAAAUUUCUAAAACCAGGUGCACCACUGUUGAAUUUUGUUUUUAUUUUAUAAAUCUUUGCAUCCGAUGGAAAAAAAUCUUUGAGAUAACAAAAUUAUAGAAGCCAUCAGUCCA
Raphanus sativus (radish) is the source of this 688-nucleotide long non-coding RNA. RefSeq lists it as uncharacterized. The transcript is spliced from 2 exons. Lineage: Eukaryota; Viridiplantae; Streptophyta; Magnoliopsida; Brassicales; Brassicaceae. The record is from RefSeq and is a predicted model, not a curated record.